UCUCAAACCAAAAUUUGAGUCAAAAUAAAUAAAUGCAUUCUACACUCACGGUGUACCUUUAAAUGUAUGUGUGUGUGUUGACUGUAUGCCUGUAUACACAUUUAGCUGUUGUCAUGGAGUCAGCUCACGGGGAUCCAAAUAAAGAUCAAGUCUUAUAAAAUAAGUGAAUGUUUUUGUUAAUGAUGUCUUUCCGGCUUACUUACAGUGUAGGAGUGACUUUUUAUUUAACUAAGCAUAUAAGGUGUUCACUUUUAUGAACUAAGUUUCCAUGGUGAUAUUAGUUGGUCUUUGAUAACAGAACACCCACAUCAAGAGGCACAAAACCAGCUUUAUACUCAGAAAACAACUUCAUAACAGUAAAAAACAAUUACAAUCAAUUUAUUCUCAUUAUAAUUUGACUAUAAUUAAACUUUUUCAAAAUCAUUGAUUGAAUAAAUUCCUUACAAAAAAAACAACAUCAAAUGUAGGCCACUCAAAACACCUGAGCUAGGAACCAUGACAACACAGCUGACUAACAAUACAGUGAUACUGUUGAAAUACAAAGGCUGUGUCCCAGAUGGCACCUUAUUCCCUCUAUAGUGCACUACUUUUGACCAGAGCCCUGUAUGUGCCCUGUCAAAAGUGCCUGUGAUGUACCUAACUUCACAUAUGUUUCAGGUGUCUAUACAGUAUGGCCGAGUCCGAAAUGGCACCCCAUUCCCUAUAUAGUACACUACUUUUGGCCGUUCAAAAUGAGUGCACUAUAUAGUGAAUAGCGUGCCAUUUGGGCCAUACCCCAUGUGAUCAUGCACCGGAGGGAAACUGGUUUAUAUUUGAAGUGGAGUAAAUGACUACUUCCCUUUUCAGUUGUGUUAUAAGAAACCUUCGAAACGGAGUUCCUGUCCUCUCUUCAUCCUCUUUCCUUCUGUGUAAAAUCCCCUGUUCUCCUCUUUCCUCCUCUAGAGGACAGCUAGAGGACAGCUAGAGGAUACCUAGAGGACAGCUAGAGGACAGCUAGAGGAUACCUAGAGGAGAGCUAGAGGAUACCUAGAGGACAGCUAGAGGACAGCUAGAGGAUACCUAGAGGACAGCUAGAGGAUACCUAGAGGAUACCUAGGGGACAGCUAGAGGAUACCAAGAGGACAGCUAGAGCACAGCUAGAGGAUACCUAGAGGACAGCUAGAGGACAGCUAGAUAAUACCUAGAGGAUACCUUCGAGGACAGCUAGAGGAUACCUAGAGGACAGCUAGAGGAUACCUAGAGGACAGGAUGAGGAUAUCUAGAGGACAGCUAGAGGAUACCUAGGGGACAGCUAGAGGAUACCUAGAGGACAGCUAGAGGAUACCUAGAGGACAGCUAUAGGAUACCUAGAGGACAGCUAGAGGAUACCUAGAGGAUACCUAGGGGACAGCUAGGGGAUAACAAGAGGACAGCUAGAGGACAGCUAGAGGAUACCUCGAGGACAGCUAGAGGAUACCUAGAGGACAGCUAGAGGACAGCUAGAGGACAGCUAGAG
This is a long non-coding RNA of Oncorhynchus tshawytscha (Chinook salmon), 1495 nucleotides long. NCBI's taxonomy places the organism in Eukaryota, Metazoa, Chordata, Actinopteri, Salmoniformes, Salmonidae. The record is from Ensembl.